AGAGCUCAGAUUUGAAAUCGUGCUUUGCGGCACGAGUUGUAGAUUGCAGGUUGGAGUCUGUGUGGAAGGCGGUGUCCAAGUCCCUUGGAACAGGGCGCCCAGGAGGGUGAGAGCCCCGUGGGAUGCCGGCGGAAGCAGUGAGGCCCUUCUGACGAGUCGAGUUGUUUGGGAAUGCAGCUCCAAGCGGGUGGUAAAUUCCAUCUAAGGCUAAAUACUGGCGAGAGACCGAUAGCGAACAAGUACUGUGAAGGAAAGAUGAAAAGCACUUUGAAAAGAGAGUGAAACAGCACGUGAAAUUGUUGAAAGGGAAGGGUAUUGCGCCCGACAUGGGGAUUGCGCACCGCUGCCUCUCGUGGGCGGCGCUCUGGGCUUUCCCUGGGCCAGCAUCGGUUCUUGCUGCAGGAGAAGGGGUUCUGGAACGUGGCUCUUCGGAGUGUUAUAGCCAGGGCCAGAUGCUGCGUGCGGGGACCGAG
This 473-nucleotide ribosomal RNA is filed under the name Pichia kudriavzevii. RNAcentral's name for it is "eukaryotic LSU rRNA". It matches the Rfam family "Eukaryotic large subunit ribosomal RNA", at positions 104 to 643 of the family's 3401-position model. Lineage: Eukaryota; Fungi; Ascomycota; Pichiomycetes; Pichiales; Pichiaceae. The record is from RNAcentral.